This is a long non-coding RNA of Acinonyx jubatus (cheetah), 777 nucleotides long. RefSeq lists it as uncharacterized. The transcript has 2 exons. NCBI's taxonomy places the organism in Eukaryota, Metazoa, Chordata, Mammalia, Carnivora, Felidae. The record is from RefSeq and is a predicted model, not a curated record.
UGACAUCACACAGAGCCAGCCAGUUACCCCCAGGGGCUCCGCCCAGUGACUUGGGCUCCUAAGGGUUGGCUCCGCAUCUCAGGUGAAAUUAGUCCCACCCCAUCAGCUGGCUAGGGCCCUUCCCUGGGCUCUUAACUUGAAUUGCCCCCCAGUUAGGAGCUCAGUCCCCGGAGCUCUUAAGGGUGCUUUCUAUUUGAAGAGUCUCGUCACCGAGAGGACCCUUAAUGGCGUUCUGGAAUCCUGAAAAGCAGCCCCCAGAGGCUAGUGGAACAGCCCAGGGAGAAAUGCAGAAUGAGGAAGUUCAUUGCCUGGUCUCUAGGUGUGCUGCCCUCAAGCCUGAGAUUGGGCAGAUGCCACGACCUCCCUUCUGCCCAGCCCCAAGCGGUCUGCCUGGCUCCAACCACAGGGCAGCACGGGUAAACUGGAACUGAGCUGUUGUGUGCAAGUGUGGGUGGGGGGCAGGGAGCACAGAGAAGAGCACUGGGACUCCUAGUCUGCCUGGCACACCGAGUCACUUAGCCAUGCUGUGACCUGCCGGGGACCAGCUCUUCUUCAGCAGUGACAGAGCCAGAUCAAAGGGGACCUCAGCUACAGCAGGAGGGAUUUAGAUAAGCUAGCAAAAAGAACUUCCUGCCUGCAAAGAUUGUUAAGCCCUGGAAAGGGGAGCCUGGGAGUCUGUGGAAUCUUUUUGCUCCGAAAUCAUAGUCACUGGUAUCACUGUGGCUUCUUCCGUGCCGUGUCUGAUAAGGACAAACAAACCCUGACAUUUUUUGAGAA